Molecule: non-coding RNA, 715 nt
Organism: Camelina sativa (false flax)
Lineage: Eukaryota; Viridiplantae; Streptophyta; Magnoliopsida; Brassicales; Brassicaceae
Source: RefSeq, a predicted model, not a curated record
UCUGUUCUAAAGGUGACGUGUCACACUCUCAAUGAAAGCUUGGUUACCCUUUAUUUUUCAUUGGCUUCGACAUUUCUUUUUCUUCUUCUCUCGCAAACGGCGCGAAGCGGCGAGAGAUUUGUGUUCUCAUCACCGUCGUCUUUGGGUUCUUCUUCUUCUUCUUCUUCUAUUAAAACCCCAAGAGCCUUUGUCUUCGUCUCUGACCACUUCGCUCCGACGUCUCUGCUACCGCUCACCUUCACGAGGCUUCUGGUUCAUCGUUCUCUUUUGGUUCGGUUUCUCAGGAUGGUUUAAAGAGAAUGUCAUGAGUUCAGGACAUGGUGUUUCGUUUCAGAAUCAAAAUCAGCAAGCCAGAGCUGAUGCUAGUUGUGUUACUACUACUACUACUACUACUAAGAACAAGAAGCAGAAGCAGUCGGUUCCUGGUGCCUUGUUUGAUGAUGAUAAGACUAAAACACACUUUGCCAAUCUGUGAAAAGAAAAGUUAGAGGAUAAUGAUGGAGCGCGCGACGUGAGAAAAACAUCAGCCUAGAGUGUAAAUUGUAAUAGCAUCACAAUCAAUCUUCAUCUAUUCAAGUGUAAAGAAUCUUUAGUUUCUUUCGCUACUUCCGAAGCAUACUCUUUGAAACAGUAGUUGAAUUUGUAAAUACGCCGUUUGUCUUAUUAUUCAGAAACCAGAAUCUAGCAGUAACAAAUGUGAGUAAUUGGGGAGUUA